GCCCUGGUGGUGGAAUUGGUAGACACAAGGGAUUUAAAAUCCCUCGGCGUGCGCGCUGUGCCGGUUCAAGUCCGGCCCGGGGCACCA
RNAcentral lists this transfer RNA (87 nucleotides) under Vibrio splendidus. RNAcentral describes it as "tRNA-Leu". It matches the Rfam family "tRNA". Rfam says of the family: Transfer RNA (tRNA) molecules are approximately 80 nucleotides in length. Their secondary structure includes four short double-helical elements and three loops (D, anti-codon, and T loops). The record is from RNAcentral. Lineage: Bacteria; Pseudomonadati; Pseudomonadota; Gammaproteobacteria; Vibrionales; Vibrionaceae.